GCCGGGAUGGCGGAAUUGGCAGACGCGCUAGGUUCAGGGUCUAGUAGGUGUAGACCUGUGGGGGUUCAAGUCCCCCUCCCGGCACCA
RNAcentral lists this transfer RNA (87 nucleotides) under Deltaproteobacteria bacterium. RNAcentral describes it as "tRNA-Leu". It matches the Rfam family "tRNA". Rfam says of the family: Transfer RNA (tRNA) molecules are approximately 80 nucleotides in length. Their secondary structure includes four short double-helical elements and three loops (D, anti-codon, and T loops). Lineage: Bacteria; Pseudomonadati; Myxococcota; Myxococcia. The record is from RNAcentral. RNAcentral also lists the same sequence under 1 other name.